GACGAACGCUGGCGGCGUGCCUAAUACAUGCAAGUAGAACGCUGAAGUGAGGAGCUUGCUCUUCUUGGAUGAGUUGCGAACGGGUGAGUAACGCGUAGGUAACCUGCCUUGUAGCGGGGGAUAACUAUUGGAAACGAUAGCUAAUACCGCAUAACAAUGGAUGACACAUGUCAUUUAUUUGAAAGGGGCAAUUGCUCCACUACAAGAUGGACCUGCGUUGUAUUAGCUAGUAGGUGAGGUAAUGGCUCACCUAGGCGACGAUACAUAGCCGACCUGAGAGGGUGAUCGGCCACACUGGGACUGAGACACGGCCCAGACUCCUACGGGAGGCAGCAGUAGGGAAUCUUCGGCAAUGGGGGCAACCCUGACCGAGCAACGCCGCGUGAGUGAAGAAGGUUUUCGGAUCGUAAAGCUCUGUUGUAAGCCAAGAACGGGUGUGAGAGUGGAAAGUUCACACUGUGACGGUAGCUUACCAGAAAGGGACGGCUAACUACGUG
This 497-nucleotide ribosomal RNA is filed under the name uncultured bacterium. RNAcentral's name for it is "partial 16S ribosomal RNA". It matches the Rfam family "Bacterial small subunit ribosomal RNA", at positions 28 to 507 of the family's 1533-position model. The record is from RNAcentral.